UAUGCAAAGGGGAGCGGUAAAAUGCUAUAAUCCUUUGUAGACCACCUGGGGCGAAGGCGUCUGACUAGAACGGGUCCGACAGUGAGGGACGAAAGCCAGGGGAGCAAACCGGAUUAGAUACCCGAGUAGUCCUGGCCGUAAACGCUGCGAGCUAGGUGUUGCAUAUUCCUCGAGAAUAUGCAGUGUCGAAGCGAAGGUGUUAAGCUCGCCGCCUGGGAAGUAUGGUCGCAAGACUGAAACUUAAAGGAAU
This 250-nucleotide ribosomal RNA is filed under the name uncultured archaeon. Its description in RNAcentral is "partial 16S ribosomal RNA". It matches the Rfam family "Archaeal small subunit ribosomal RNA", at positions 616 to 865 of the family's 1478-position model. The record is from RNAcentral.